Long non-coding RNA from Nematostella vectensis (starlet sea anemone), 11097 nucleotides. RefSeq lists it as uncharacterized. The transcript has 3 exons. Lineage: Eukaryota; Metazoa; Cnidaria; Anthozoa; Actiniaria; Edwardsiidae. The record is from RefSeq and is a predicted model, not a curated record.
AAGUUAAUCAAACUUUGUUCAAUUUUCCAUUUUUUUUUAUUGUCAAACAUAAUAGCGGAGCCAGCGCGGAGCCCCAUAGGUAUAGAAAUGGUCUAUAACUAGGCGACUCAGAUUUUAUGGUCAAUGACGUCAUUGUCACAAGCUGCCAGCCAGCCAGCCUCGAUUUGCCUCGGCACAGGCCUUCAGAGCGCGCAAAACAAUAUGGCGGAUGAGUAUUUUCUGCCCCUCUAAAAAACACACGAAAACUGACUGCAGAAAAGCCAUGAAUUGUCGAAAAAGAAGUGCUUGAAAAUGAUCGUGGGAAUGCUAACCAAUGAUAUGAAUUUGUGUAAUUAUGUGCAAAAGACUGUGUAAAAGCAUGAUUGAAAGUUUUGAAGAGUCAAGUCUUGUGCUCAAGUCAAGGUCAGCUGAAAUGUCAGAGUAAGCCACGAGAUAAAGAAAGAAAGAACAAGCUAAUUUCAUGGACACCUUCUCCGACAAGUGCUCCUAUGUAUUUGUUCUUGCACUGGCAGACGUGGGUCCUACCACCCUAAUACCUCUACUUCCAAGUCCUCCUAAUUAGGAUUAAUGACAAAGUGAUGUUUGUUUGCUUUCCACGUUUCGCUAAAAAAGAACGCCAAAGCUGGGGCUGCGAAUACACCGAUAACGAUCGAACAGCCGUGGGUACUUGGACCCAUGUGGAGCUGGCCAAAGACUUGGAGAAAGGUUACCGUGUCUUCAAAGUAUAUGAGGUAUGGCACUGGGAGGAAUGGGGCCAGCUGUUCGGGAGUUACAUCGCACAGUUCUUGUAAACAAGCAGGAGGCCUCUGGCUGGCCUGCAUGGUGCCGGACCGACGAUGAUCGGGAGUGCUACUUAAGCAAUUUCCUGGAGCACGAGGGUAUACGGCUGGACCCCCAGCGUAUCAAUCGGAACGAGGGCUGUCGCGCUGAACAGUAUGUGGAGAAGCUCGGGGAGCGAGCGCACAGAGUACAUUAAAACAGAGUUUGUUCCGCAUACAGAUGAGUGACGAUGUUGAAGUGAGCGAUUGCAUUUUUGUGAACUAUGAGCUUUUACAAGUCCAUCGCAAGAGUGUCAAGCACUUUACGGCACCGAAAGCGCACUCCAAUAUUGUCAUUGCCGCAUACACCACCGCGUACGCGCGACUAAUGCUCUACAACACCCUGGAUAAACUGGGUGAGCGUGUGCUGUACCAUAAUACGGAUAGUGUUAUUAACAAGACUACACCAGGCCGGACCUCUCUGCCCGUGGGCGACUAACUUGGAGAAUUGACCGAUGAGCUCCCACCUGGCGAUCAAAUCACUUUCUUCGUAUCUACUGGGCCUAAAAGCUACGGAUAUCGAACACUUCAAGAGAAAGUGGAAUGCAAAGUAAAAGGGCUAUAAGUCAAUGUACGCACUCCAGCAGUAGUCAACUUGGAUACCAUGGUGGAAUUGCUUGAAGGGGUCGGUGAGAGAUUAAGGAACGUUGAUAUCCCCUUCUCCAUUGCCCACGAAGUGCACCGCCGUACCUUACAUACUCGUGCUUUGUCAAAGACGUUUCGGGUCGUGUACAAUAAGCGCGUGCAAAGAGGGAAACGCUCUUACCCCUAUGGGUACAACAGCAUUAGCUAGGGAGAUAGUCUGGAUGUGAAUGGUCGUAGAUGUAAAUAUGUAGAUAUGUAGAUAUUUCAAGGGCGUGAACAAUAAAGUAUAAACCUUUUUCUCCCAGAUAUUUUUGUGUUCCGAGUGGUGGUGCGCCAGUUGAAGUAAGAAGCUGUUCUGGUGGGUAAAUGAUAGAAUUGGGUGCUGUUUUGGUAAAGAUCCCCAAGGACCCGCAACUGAGUUGUAAAGCCACCGGUCCACAAAAACCUGAAUGGUAUCUCUAUCCCAACUCCUGACACAUGGAAAAGCAAAAGCGAUGAGAGGGAAAAAGUAGAACAUGGGAAAAACACCUCGGCAACUCCAGGGCUCGAUAGUAGGGCGGGGUCAGAGAAAGCUUUCGACCCCGUUAACAAAGACAAAAAAGCCCAUAAACAAUCCCCAAAGGUCUCAAAGAAAUCGUCCAAACAACUCCAUGACAGCUACAAUGAUCCCUCGGACCCGGCGGCCUUUGGUUGCGUGGAUAAAUUAGCGCGGGCCAAACGAAACAAGGGGGUAACACAUCAGCAAGCCGAACUAAGUUUACGCUCGCAAACACUUACGCACUCCAUCGCCCUUGCGGACGACGAUACAAACGCCAGCGCAUCAUAGUGCAAGGGAUGGAUGAGCAAUGGCAAGCGGACUUGAACGACAUGCAAUCGUUGAAGAAGCAUAAUAAUUACACCCUCACUAUUAUCGACGUGCUGAGUAAAUUUGCCUGGGCGGUACCACACAAGAACAAAACAGGAAAUGAACUAGACAUGGCGUUCAAACGAACUUUUAAAGGAAGUGGUCGCAAGCCUGAGAAAUUCCAAACCGACGAUGGCUCGGAGUUUAAGAAAAAAGUAUCCCAAACCCAUUUUUCUACACGUAGCGAGAUAAAAGUGUCGACAGUCGAACGGUUUAAUAUGACUCUAAAAACCAAGAUGUGGCGGCACUUCACUUCACUUCACUCACAGAAACACGCAGCGGUACGUCGAGGUACUCCCAAAGCUAAUACAGAACUACAAUCACACCAACCAUCGCAGAAUUAAAAGAACGCCGGUGGCAGUGGUCACCCCGCGUGACGCCCAAGAAGUGUAGCACGUGCUAUAUGUUAAAAAAAAACGCAAACUGCUGAAGCCCAAGUUUAACGUGGGUGACCUGGUCAGGAUAAGUAAAGUCAAGGGGAUGUUCUCUAAAAGGUAUUCGCCCCAUUGGACUAAAGAGACAUUCAAGAUUAGCAGGCAAUUCAUCAAACGCAACCCUUAUGCCUACGAGUGGAGAGGGAUGGGACACCCCUGGAGGGGAGGUUCUACAAGUCCAAGUUGCAGCUCGUUGAUGUGGAUGAGGAGAACGAUUACUUUUACGUAGAGAAAAUCCUUGACUCACGCGGGCGUGGUAGGAAAAAAGAAUAUCUGGUCAAGUGGGAGGAAUGACCCAUAAAUAUAAUAGCUCCGUGGCCAUCUCGCAGCUCCACAUCGCCCAGAACGCCACGGUGUUUAGGCCCAAGUACACUUUACCAAGGGCUGACGAGUACCACAUGUUUUUGUCAAGUAACGCGAUUAAGGGUGCUCUACCGGAGAACACCGCAUCAAACUUUGGGAUCUUACACGAUCACCGGCUUGAUUUGUCCGAUGGACCGUAUCAGUGCGCGGUCACUAAUGUGGUGGUCCCAAACAAAUGGCUACACUUCUCUGAUUUCGCGCACACUCUUUGGAUCUACGUUAAAGUCACACCUGAUCAGCGUAAAACGAUCCAUUACGCUCAAUGGGUAAAAGUUAAAAUCUCUACUAUAAAAAGAACGUCCGACAUGUGGGUAAAGACUGCAAAGUGCCAAAGUGCCCUUGAGAGUUUCUCCAGCCUGCCAUACGUUUAUGAUAUGGUGGGGACCCAAGGCCCACUUCUUAAUGGCGCUACGCAUGGCCAAAGCCCAUGGUCUCUCGAACACCGUAUCGCAACGAUUUUUGCGUAGUAAGUUAAAUCCUGAUAAGGAGUCCUUGGUACCGGGUAUUCCAACGUUUGGCAUGCCACCAUGGUACGGGUCACAAAAGAAACAAACCUGGUGUAUGCUGUCUACGACUAUAUGCGCCGCUCUUCCUCGUUUGUCUCGAUUGAGAAUGCGCACAGCCCAAAAUUAAAACCGUUCCAAGACUACUAUUUGUACUUAGGCACACAACAGGGUGCGUUGUACCUCAUUACUAGGUACACACCCGUGCACGCGACAUCCCCCGAACACCUGAGAUGGUGAAGGCACCCAACUGGUUUAAGCAAGUCGCAAUGGGGUUGCAAGAGAAUAUAGCUAAGGAGUUACGUGAAGACAUGGCUCGGGGAGGGCCUGCUCAGAAAGGAAAUGAAAAUUUUCGGGGAGGACCCGUAACACAAGGCGGAAGGGGAGGAUUCCGUGGCUCUCCACUCACCCAAAGCGGCCGCGGGUCAUUGGCGCUUAAUGGUUCACACCCUUUCCUAGGGAUACCCAUGCCAGCGCAGCGCGGUGGUGGAGGUGGCGGGAGUGCCCCACGGGUGAUUGGCAAUACUUUGAGCACUGCCUACCUCACUUAUUCGCAUUCACCCUCCCACUCCCUCACGCAAAAGACCAGGAACCACCAGGCCGUCAACUACCAAGAAAACAAGAAAGAUAUAAUAAAUUUAGGCAUUACCUAAAAGCGGAGCUCCAAACGACCAAAUAUUUGCUUAUUUUCGCUUAAUAAUUUAAGAAAUAUUAAAUAUUAUUAUAUUUCUGUUUUUUUACAACGAUUUCACAGAUCACGCGACCAACAUGUUCAUUUUGAUAAAGUGUUCAUUUUGAUAAAGCAUAUUUUGCUUAAUGUGACGUCAUUGAUGAUGACACAAUUACCUGACCAUGUUAGAGCACCCCCCUUUACACCAACAUGACAUAAGAACUACAGAGUUUGGUUGAGAAACAUUGUUUCUUUCAAGAGAUCUGAAUGUUUUGCUUUAAUUCACGUUUUUUGCUUUAAGUGACGCCACCGAUGACGUCACACAACACGUGACCAUAUUGUUGCAUCCCUCGUGACACCUACAUGAAACCAACCGAGUUUGGUUGCUAUAGAUGUUUCCUUCGUAUAUUUGUGCUUCUAAUGACGUCAUCGAUGACGGCACAAAUCACCUGACCACAGUUUUGCACCUCUCUUGGCACAUACAUGGCACCUGCUAGUUUGGUUGUCAUACGAUGCUUCUAAGGGACGGACGGACGGACAUCGCGUCACGAAAACUCUAGUCGAUGGGAUACCAAUAUUUUUACAAUAUUUGUUUUGUAUACCACUUUUUCUUAGGUACGGGGCUCCACUCACGCGGCGCUUCGCGUGAGAGCUCCGCUGAAAAGCCACCGCUAUAACCGCUAGGCACCAUUCAACGCCAACACCAUACACUGUCAGGAGCUCCGCAGUAUGGCUGUAUCCGUAGCCACUGUUUAUAAAAGCUCCAAAAUAGGCUAUGGCAGAGAAUUAGACUUAUUUUCUUUACCCUUUACCCGAAGGGGAAUACCUGAAGUACCCCAAAAAAACCGAGGAGGGUGAUAAAUACACGUUCAUUAUCCCGGUAUCAUCCCAUUGCAUCGACCUGAAAAAGACGUUCCUUUCCAUGAUGGUCAAACUCACGCUGACGACGGCAGCAACAUAGAUAACAACCGAUCAGUCGGUCUGGUCAACUACCCCGUUUGGAGCCUUUUCAAAGAGUUGAACGUAUGGGUAAAUGGUGGCAAGAGGGAGCUCAGGGGACCUUUAUCCCUACAAAACCUAUUCCCAAGCCCUACUGAACUUCUCGAAAAGCGCCCACGAGACCUACCUGGCUGGGAGCAAGGAACAUGAAUACCCACGCAACCAACGGGGCGGAAGCUAAUAAUCAGGGACUGAAAAAAACUGGGAGCGAUAACUAUCGCCGCACGUGCAACCAAAGGCGUGGGUAUGGUUGGAAAUGUGCACUCUGACCUGUUCUCCAGCGACCGGUAUUUGAUACAUGAUGUGGAGCUCAAAUUGGAAUUCUUCCUAAACGGUCCUAAAUUCGCAUUGAUGUCAACUGCCCAAGACGAGAAAAUAAAAAUACAUGACCUGACCCUCAAUUUCAAACACGUCGAACCAACCGUGUCUGCCGGCCUGGAAAUCGAAAGAGCACUUAACGCGGGUAACACAGCCGAGUACCCGAUAGUGAGCAACACGAUCCAACCGCUGACUAUCCCUACAGGGUCGAGCACUUUCCAAAAGUUUGACUUAUUUUUAAACAAAAUCCCAAAAGCCGAAACCAGGGCGAAACACAUCCAUACAGCUAAGCCAUUACCUCGACAUCACCAGGGGACGCCCUCAUAUACCACUCCCUACACAAGUCGGUGCUCGGCGACCUCGUGGGUGAUAGUGUGGGCAUCACCCUGGAAGAAUUUAAGAACGGGUAUACGAUAUACGUCAUCAACCUCACUGAAGGCCAUAACGCUGCAAAAGGUAGCUACCUCCCAGAGUAUAAUGGUCGCGUGGACCUCUACCUGCGGUUCAAACAGACCACCACUUAAAACUUGUAUUUGCUGGUCCUAGGUGAGUGGGACAAUAGCUUAAAAAUUAACAAGGACUGAUAAGUCGUCUUCACCCCAAACCUCUAAACAAUGUACACCGAUAUGCUUGAAGACAUCGCGUGCAACGAUGAGCCAUUGGCGGCUGUGUUUGGAGGGCUAAUGUCCAGUGACAAGCUGGGCAAGCAAAAAAGGGUUGGGGACACGGCCCACACCGUUAACACCGACCCUAGCAAUAAACCUGGUAUGCAUUGCCUGGGUGUCUACGAGAUUCCUGACCACCUUAAGUUUUUCGACAGUUUUGCUUUUAACCCCCGCACGUAUGGGAGUGGCUUUCAACGAUUUUGUCUUCAACACAAUAUUGUCGUGAAGAACAAUCGUCGCGUCUAAGCCCUCACAUCGCCAUAUUUUUUACCUCUAUUACCUCACCCUAUGACCCCUGAACGACCCUCCGGCCUGAGUGACGACAAUACCAAUGAAGAAACCAGCACGUCCGCUACCACAGUCACCACAUCACCCACAGGCACUGGGGACAACUUAACCUACCCCCCAUCCCCAUAACGCCAUUGAACAGCAGGCCUGAUUUAGCAGAACCCCCGACCGCGAACACUCAGAUGUACGGGCCUACCGAGCAUUCUCUCACUCUCGCACACUACUGUACACGGCACCCGACGCUGUGCCAGAAAAAAAUGAACCUUACUGCUGGGUAUGGCAGUAGCAGUGUUGAGGUUAAUGAUUGCGAAACUGCCAACUACCCCAGGCAUCCCAUCGAUGUCUCUUUGCAACCUCGGAUACAGAGCCCACUAUCCAGCCAUGGAAACGUGCAGCAACGCCUUCGCGGACGUAACAAUGGUAGCACAGCCCUACGCAAGUACCGCCGUGUUUCCCGUGUAUGCGUCAGCGAACACCUUAGUGGGGAGGUGGUGACCAAAUGCACCACCCGCCGUCGCACCACCAGACCCCAAACGAGGGAGCUUUAAAAAGUAUGAAAGACACAGCGCCACACGUACACAGGCACUCGCAACUAUGGACCGCCCACGAAAAGGUAGACGCCACCAAGCGCCUCCUAAAAGGGGUCGGGGGGGAUUGAAAAGAGCAAUGAUAAAAAAAAAACACGUUGUCGACAGUACCUGCAAGUGGCAACGUGGCGGCCUCACCUUCCAUAAUCCCAUGAAUGUGAUAAUAAAAGUACAGAAUGCUAUAAAAAUACCAACUUCGGUACCCCUCACUACCAUUCACGACAAUGGCAUCGCCACGGAAAGGCCGGAGUAAGAGGGCUUCAACAAAACGCCGCACCAAGAAAAGAGGCCACCCUAUGUUCGGACCACCAAGACAACGUGGGGGGCUAGGCCCACUCGCACUACUCGCUGAGGCCGGCCUCCUCCACAUGCUCAGGAACUUAUUAGGCGGUAAAUGAUACAAAAAGCGCCGCUGGCUAGCCACAACCCUCAUCCACAACAUGCCGGUUACUUGGAAAAGAGGAAACCGUAAAAGCGGGAGAUGUCCACGCCGCUGCAAGGACCGCUUAAUUAGAAAGCACCUUUCCUCGAGAUGGUGCGUACCGCAAAACCGCCGUUCAGCCACCCCCGAACAAGUGAACAGCGUAAGCGAGAUCGCACGCAAUAUUAUUUAGGAAAAUAUUCUGCUCUCGCCUUACUACUACAAAAAACUCAGGCCGCAUCGUACCCGGUUAGGAAAGAUUGCAAACCGUUCCCUAGGAACCGCCGGAAAAGAAUUAUGAACUAGGGUGGUGGUUGGGAAAUCUCCCUUCUUAUCGGUGCCCUGGAAGGCUCAGCGGCCCCUGUCCUGCAGAAACACAUAUCAAAAAUCUAAAACGAUUGGUGGUUUGGAGGGGACGCGUAUAUUAUGCACUAUCCCCACGAGAGCCUGCACCUUUCAAAAGGCCCUACCAUGCCAGCGUGAAGGCAAUGCAGGUCAAGCGAUGAAUACUACAACAAGGCACGACGAUGUGUACUGAUUCCCGAAGACAUGGCCCUUAUCUUGGACAGGCUGAAAGUCAAAUACCAUAUAGAUUCCCACCACAAUACGGGACCAUGUCACAACUCCCCAAAAAGAUGUCAGCCACAAUGUCAACGUCAAUGUCAACCACACCCUCCCACAGGAUAUUAGGUGACGGAAAUACCUACGACUGCACCGAGAGUUUUUAACAUAAGCAGAGCAAACAACAUCAGGAAGCCCCACAGUCAGCAACACUGUCGAGGGGGAGAUCAUCAAAAUUCUUGCUAGCGCACCUAUACCACCUCAAGAAACCCCCUGACCACGAUCGCAGCCUACUCUACCAUCACACUCACCGUCAAAGAUCCCAGUACAAACCAAGAGAAAACGACUCCCUCCACCGCAGGAAACCUCUCGAUCACGAACGAUACCAGCACCACCAAACUACCCGCCACGACGACCAAACCCUCGACGACUUAAUGCUUAGCGUGGCGACCACAAUCCGCUCCAACAAUAUCGUUGCUAAAUUGAUGCCCUGAAUCCACGGAUCGGUAGUAACGUAGAAGGGUCGCAAACUUUUGGCACCCGAACUUUUCGAGGUUUAGACAGGGUAUGCCAAGAGCGCCCAGUAGACGUCUUUCGUACACCCCACCCUUUUAUCCGACGACCCCGCCUCGCCCUUAAAACUUGUAUCACACAGAAACCACAGCCUUCAACCUCUCGUGUUUGACAGCCAUCGGGGCUCGAUACUGAAAAGACAGCCCAUGGACGUGUCUCUCCGCGCUUGUAACAAUACGACACUGCCACGGUCUGAGGCCGUGCAUCCUGAUAGGAUUAAUAAACUGCUGACCAAGGACGUCUUGGUGUUGGUGACAAAAAAAAAAACAUCUGCUUUGUGUAAAACUCCUGCCCAAUUUGGAACCCGUCCAGAUCCAGCACAGCAGUCACUUUCUCGAAAGUAGUUUUUUUCACCAUCAGGACUAGCCACAAACGUCCACUCAGGACCCGCAUGGCUGUUUUAUUAGCUAAACCAUCCAACCGUAUUACAGAGAUAUCCAACACCGUUAACCAGUGAAAACAUAUAUUUUAUUCCUGUCAACACAUCAUACAACGAUGCCGCUAUAACAUUAUACUACCCCUGGAUAAUAAACACACAGCACUACGUCAACGCGGUACGUUUAACCGAGCCCUUAGCGUAACAAGAAAUGCGCCAUAACUGCAAAAUAACAAAACCAUUACCAUAUGGUAAUGGUGUGUAAUCCUUGAUAAUUCCACUGCAAUUAGCUAAAUGUAUUGCCUAAAGGUAAACAAAGUUUUUUACAUAUUUGCUAACAUACAUAAGUCAUAGUCGAGUGCGUGGUAAAAGGUAACAGGAUUAGAUUUCACAGCAACAUUGGAUUGAGAACAAAAGCAGCCGAGUGAACAGGAUUUAGGUCUCCACUAACAAAUGCUCUUACCCGUCUCGCAGUUUGUUCCUGUGAAUCCAGGAAUGCAUGAGCACGUGUACUUGUUAACGCCGUCAUUGCAUGUGGCUCCGUUCUGACAGGGACCACUUGCGCAAUCAUCAAUAUCUUAUACACAAAGUUUUUAGAAACCGUAAGUGUAACCCGAGGGACAUGUGCACGUGAAGCUAUUUUUUCCAUCCAUGCAAGUCCCUCCGUUUGCACAAGGAUUACCAGCACAUUCGUCCAUGUCUUCAAAGAUAGAAACAAUCUCAAUGGAAGAAGCGUUUACGAAAAUAGUCGUCGUUGCUUUCAUGAGAAAAAGCAAUAUUUAAAAAGCGGUUAUAAAACUAUUAACCAUUGACAUUCAUCGAAAGACGAAAAAUAUGACCAAAAUAGGAUUUAAAUGUGCACAAUGACUCUUAAUGUAAUUAAAUUGACUUACAAUAUAAAUAACAUGUAUUUGUAAUUCAUUUCCAUCCGCUCACAGUGUGUGAUCACGGUACUCUGUUACUCUUAAGGCUAGUUCUCACCGACGUAACCGUAAGGGGAGACGGAAGCGUAAGAGUCUGAUGUCGCGUGAGAACCGCGAGCAAGGUUUUACGCACGCUCAGUUCGUAGUCUAGUGCCCAUAACUUUUCGACGAGCCAAAGCUGGAUGGGCUAAUUUAUACUUAUAUUCCGCUAAUGAUUACGUGGACCCUGUUCUCAGGCGACAAAAGACUCGUACACUUCCGUCUCCGCUUAAGCUUACGUCGCUCGUGAGAACAAGCCAUUAGUUUUUAGUAAGUUAAAAUGAGCCGUUCAUUCUUCUGUUACAGGACGGGUUGUCAUAUUGUUUAGAUUAUAGUUACUUGUCAUCUAGUAUUUCAUGUUCCUAUCAUGAAAAACAGAAGUUAUUAAGUUUUCUUUAUCUUUUAAGGAUAAUUUAGAUUUUUUUCACAAUUGUAGUUUCUUUAGUCUAGAUUUUAGCACGCUCGUGGACCCUCUGCUUCGAUGGCCUUUUGGUGCGUCUAAAUCCAGGGAAGGUUCAGUUUCUUAUACGUGGCAGAAUCGUGGUUUCUUAUUUUCGUUUCAGACAUUUUAUUUGGCAAGCUAAACUCUUAAAUGUUCUUCAGAACCACAUGCCAUUUUUAGCCUUUGGUUUAGACAUCAUCAUCAUCAUCAUCAGCUUGAGCCGUUAUUUUAAAAGUUGCUUAAUCAUAAGUGUUAUCUUAGAGUCACCUUGACUUAAUUGAUUAUUUUGUAAAUACGCAGGGACGAGAGACCAACCCUGUGAUUUCCCAUGCUCUCACGCUUUUGCUGAUUGGUUCGUUUGGCCGAAUGUAUCCAAGUCUCCCCGUUUCCUGUUGAAUUGUUUUACAUUUAUUUCCUUUCUUGUUGGACCACAACAUGGGUUGCUGUCUGGUCCUAGAGUAUAAAUGUAGAGAGCCUAGUACAGUGUUGUUUUAUUGUGGUUGCUGUUCUGCGGUUGCGACUGUGAACAAUUAAAGCUUGAAAAUACAAGCCUCGCCUUCGUCUUAAUCCUAAAGAUCCCGAGAAGUGCACAUAACACUUCUAUGAAAUAAAAUUUUUAAAAUCUCAA